RNAcentral lists this ribosomal RNA (305 nucleotides) under uncultured bacterium. RNAcentral describes it as "bacterial SSU rRNA". It matches the Rfam family "Bacterial small subunit ribosomal RNA", at positions 337 to 640 of the family's 1533-position model. The record is from RNAcentral.
GCCUACGGGGGGCAGCAGUGAGGAAUAUUGGUCAAUGGUCGGGAGACUGAACCAGCCAAGCCGCGUGAGGGAGGAAGGUACAGAGUAUCGUAAACCUCUUUUGUCAGGGAACAAAGGCGGGGACGUGUCCCCGGAUGAGUGUACCUGAAGAAAAAGCAUCGGCUAACUCCGUGCCAGCAGCCGCGGUAAUACGGAGGAUGCGAGCGUUAUCCGGAUUUAUUGGGUUUAAAGGGUGCGCAGGCGGCCUGUUAAGUCAGCGGUAAAAACCCGGGGCUCAACCCCGGCGAGCCGUGGAAACUGGCGGG